CAAUGUCAGAAAGCUUUUUAUUUUCUUUAUUUGAAGAAAUGUUAUUUUCAAGAUCCAUUUCCAUGGUCCACGGUGCUGCAGUCCGCUCUACAGCUGAAUCACGUUCGAGAACCAUGAAGAGAUCAUCUGGCUCGUGGGAAUUUAAGGUUCCAGUCUUAUUGUGUGAACCUUCUUGCUUGCUGUUUGUGAGUUCAGUAGCACCAACAAUGUCUGAAACCAUACUUAUGUCAGCUGCUGAUUGAGAAUGGAAUUGAUCUUCCGAUGAUCGUGAUUGAAUCAUGAAAGAGUCAUCGCCCAAAAUAUCUUUCUUGUUUUUCCCUACACCAUUAAAAGUUCUAAAGUCACGGUAUCGAUCUUCAUUUGUUGGUUUAUCAGAUUGAUUGACAAUGAGCCAGUCCUCUUCUUUCUGACAUUUAGUGAGGGAAGUUUCUAGGCCAGGCACAGUUGAAUCAGAUUAGCCACUUAAUUCUUCAUUUCUCCGAGAAAACAACAACUCCUCAUCUGUGCUAAUUUUUUUCUUGAUAGAUGAAGCUGCAUCCUUCCCUUCCUUAAAGUAUUCAACCCGAUUCCGGCCCUUGCUGUCCAAUUCUCUCCCAGCAACAACAAAGGAAUCAUCCUCAAAAUUCUUGUUCACAAUAUAUUCCUCCUGAAACUUAAUAGGCUGUUUUUCCGUAUCAGGGGUAGAAUCAUCAUCUCUCAAAAGGAGAUUCUGGAAAGCAUCCCAGUUGUUAUUGCCUUUUAUGCCAUUGGAAUCAGCAUCAUCUGAACCAAUUAGUUUGUCAGGAUGCUUUGCGCUAUGUUGUUUUUUAUGGUGACGGGAACUUGACUUGUGUCUUCUCUCCAGUGACACUACAGCUUCCUCUACCUGGUUUUUCAGGGAAUCUCCAUUGAUAAAUUCUUCCUCAUUGGACAAACUCCCCUCUGUGACACUACCUUUUUCACCAUCUCCAUUAGAGGUUAUAUAGUUUAUAUUGCGUAUAACUACUUUCCUCGAAGACUUCUUUCCGUGCUUCUUUUUGUGAAGAUUCUCUGUUGAAGAACUCUUUCUGCUUUCUGCCGCUGAAUCAGUAAUUCUUCCUUUCUCUUUCUAGUUUCUUCUUCCUGUUAACAAAAUUGGGCAGUAGAGGUGAACAACAGACUGGGAUGCUCAAAUUACUUGUGAAGUUUCAACUAAAAGCCAAACAAAAUACGAAGAAAAAGUUCCAUAUAUAUAUUCGGUGCUACGGAAAGUGUUGCUUUUUUUUUUCUGAGUCAUGCAAUGAAAGAACUUCUCAUGUGUACUUGGCAGAAAGAAAGUGUUGGUUUUAUUUGCCAUACAAUCAUAAUCUCCAAGACACAGGAAAAGAUGAAGUGGUGAACAUGAAACUUCUACUUCAUGGAAAUAUACAGGUAGCAGUUAAAAUCAAGAAAUAUCAAAGCAAUUGAAAACUCAUGACCCAGUUAGAAUUAUCAAAAUCACUUGCAGUUUGAUUUGAAAUGUGAGGCACAAGUGAACUCACUUAAGGUGAUAAAUUCCAAAAUCUACCAUCUUUAAACCAAAAUCUCAACAUCAAGAUUCAUGUGAGGACAGAUAAUGUUCAUUACAUAAUUAAGCGAUUUUGCUCCUAAUUUUCAUUUUCAGCCCACAACUUCCUUAGUUGAGUAUAAGAUAGAGUCUUCAGCAUAUUUGGCAAAUCGGCUUAACAAUUGAUAAAACAAACACUGCAAAUGGGAUGUGCAAAAUAAUUAUAGGUUAAAGUUUUAACAAUUCUUAUAACUUUGUGAGCUGUUUAGGCUAAGAAAACUUUUUUCUACCUUCUAUACCAAACUAACCAACAUUUGGUUGGUCCCAUAUCUAACAAAAAAAAUUAAGCAUUUCCAGAAGUGAAGUAAUGUUUAAAAUAUGCCUCUUUCUUUCACUUGAUCCUUCAAGAAAAUUGCUAAAUCAUAACAGUUAUUAAUUUACCUUAACAGUUUUGCUCUUCGUAACUGUAGUUCUGCUUCCAGGUGAUACUUUGCUUCUUGACAUGAUAUCGGAUUUGGUUUUCCCAAGGGAAGCAUUUUGAGCCUUAGACUUUGCAUCUUUACUUGAAACUUUCCCAGUUCGCACUCCAGGAGUUUUCGUACCAGCUCCCUUAGGAUUAGAUAGACUAUUUUUAUCAUUUCCAAUGUCAGAAAGCUUUUUAUUUUCUUUAUUUGAAGAAAUGUUAUUUUCAAGAUCCAUUUCCAUGGUCCACGGUGCUGCAGUCCGCUCUACAGCUGAAUCACGUUCGAGAACCAUGAAGAGAUCAUCUGGCUCGUGGGAAUUUAAGGUUCCAGUCUUAUUGUGUGAACCUUCUUGCUUGCUGUUUGUGAGUUCAGUAGCACCAACAAUGUCUGAAACCAUACUUAUGUCAGCUGCUGAUUGAGAAUGGAAUUGAUCUUCCGAUGAUCGUGAUUGAAUCAUGAAAGAGUCAUCGCC
RNAcentral lists this long non-coding RNA (2440 nucleotides) under Lotus japonicus. RNAcentral's name for it is "long non-coding RNA (LJAP_LNC001527)". Lineage: Eukaryota; Viridiplantae; Streptophyta; Magnoliopsida; Fabales; Fabaceae. The record is from RNAcentral.